Molecule: ribosomal RNA, 458 nt
Filed under: Crystallibacter crystallopoietes
Lineage: Bacteria; Bacillati; Actinomycetota; Actinomycetes; Micrococcales; Micrococcaceae
Description: bacterial SSU rRNA
Rfam family: Bacterial small subunit ribosomal RNA
Source: RNAcentral
GCCCUUGACUCUGGGAUAAGCCUGGGAAACCGGGUCUAAUACCGGAUACGACCUUUCACCGCAUGGUGGUUGGUGGAAAGAUUUUUUGGUUUUGGAUGGACUCGCGGCCUAUCAGCUUGUUGGUGAGGUAAUGGCUCACCAAGGCGACGACGGGUAGCCGGCCUGAGAGGGUGACCGGCCACACUGGGACUGAGACACGGCCCAGACUCCUACGGGAGGCAGCAGUGGGGAAUAUUGCACAAUGGGCGAAAGCCUGAUGCAGCGACGCCGCGUGAGGGAUGACGGCCUUCGGGUUGUAAACCUCUUUCAGCAGGGAAGAAGCGAAAGUGACGGUACCUGCAGAAGAAGCGCCGGCUAACUACGUGCCAGCAGCCGCGGUAAUACGUAGGGCGCAAGCGUUGUCCGGAAUUAUUGGGCGUAAAGAGCUCGUAGGCGGUUUGUCGCGUCUGCUGUGAAAG